RNAcentral lists this long non-coding RNA (358 nucleotides) under Salvia miltiorrhiza (redroot sage). RNAcentral describes it as "long non-coding RNA (SMIL_LNC012711)". The record is from RNAcentral. Lineage: Eukaryota; Viridiplantae; Streptophyta; Magnoliopsida; Lamiales; Lamiaceae.
UCGAAGUUGAGGCGGUGAUUUUAGAUCUAGGGUUUGUGAGAGAAGAGCGGCGCCAUGGCUGCGGCGGUGGUCGUCGGUGUUGUUUGUGUUCUGGAGCGAAGUAGAGGAGGGAAGGGAUGAGGGACGGUGGCGGCGGCCUUGUCCCUGCCAUUCGUCGGAAAUUCAGGGGAAAGGGUGCGGCGUCGCGUGUCUGUGUGUAUGCUAGUGUGUGUGUCGGUGUGUGUGUUCUGGGGAGGUAGAGGCGAGACGAGAGGGGAUGGAAAGGGCGGUGGCUGAAGGCGGCGCUAUUCGCAGGAGUUGAGGGCGAAGCCGCGCAGCUGCAGGAGUGGUGUGUGUAUGUGGUUGUUUUAGUGAAGGA